RNAcentral lists this ribosomal RNA (252 nucleotides) under uncultured bacterium. RNAcentral describes it as "partial 16S ribosomal RNA". It matches the Rfam family "Bacterial small subunit ribosomal RNA", at positions 524 to 776 of the family's 1533-position model. The record is from RNAcentral.
UACGGAGGAUGCGAGCGUUAUCCGGAUUUAUUGGGUUUAAAGGGUGCGUAGGCGGUAUUUUAAGUUAGUGGUAAAACGUCGGGGCUUCACCUUGAUUGGCCAUUAAAACUGGAGUACUAGAGUACAGACGGGGUAGGCGGAAUAAGUUAAGUAGCGGUGAAAUGCUUAGAUAUAACUUAGAACCCCGAUAGCGAAGGCAGCUUACCAGACUGUUACUGACGCUGAAGCACGAGAGCGUGGGUAGCGAACAGG